Molecule: transfer RNA, 73 nt
Filed under: Loxodonta africana (African savanna elephant)
Lineage: Eukaryota; Metazoa; Chordata; Mammalia; Proboscidea; Elephantidae
Rfam family: tRNA
About the family: Transfer RNA (tRNA) molecules are approximately 80 nucleotides in length. Their secondary structure includes four short double-helical elements and three loops (D, anti-codon, and T loops).
Source: Rfam by way of RNAcentral
GAAGUGGUGGUUCAGUGGUAAGACUUCUUGUCUUCCCAAGCGGGAGACCCAGGUUCAAUUCCUGGCCAAUGUA